RNAcentral lists this ribosomal RNA (435 nucleotides) under Kocuria dechangensis. RNAcentral describes it as "bacterial SSU rRNA". It matches the Rfam family "Bacterial small subunit ribosomal RNA", at positions 371 to 818 of the family's 1533-position model. Lineage: Bacteria; Bacillati; Actinomycetota; Actinomycetes; Micrococcales; Micrococcaceae. The record is from RNAcentral.
AUGGGCGAAAGCCUGAUGCAGCGACGCCGCGUGAGGGAUGACGGCCUUCGGGUUGUAAACCUCUUUCAGUAGGGAAGAAGCGAAAGUGACGGUACCUGCAGAAGAAGCGCCGGCUAACUACGUGCCAGCAGCAUCGGUAAUACGUAGGGCGCAAGCGUUGUCCGGAAUUAUUGGGCGUAAAGAGCUCGUAGGCGGUUUGUCGCGUCUGCUGUGAAAGCCCGGGGCUCAACCCCGGGUCUGCAGAAGGUACGGGCAGACUAGAGUGCAGUAGGGGAGACUGGAAUUCCUGGUGUAGCGGUGAAAUGCGCAGAUAUCAGGAGGAACACCGAUGGCGAAGGCAGGUCUCUGGGCUGUUACUGACGCUGAGGAGCGAAAGCAUGGGGAGCGAACAGGAUUAGAUACCCUGGUAGUCCAUGCCGUACACGUUGGGCACUA